RNAcentral lists this ribosomal RNA (437 nucleotides) under uncultured bacterium. Its description in RNAcentral is "partial 16S ribosomal RNA". It matches the Rfam family "Bacterial small subunit ribosomal RNA", at positions 28 to 507 of the family's 1533-position model. The record is from RNAcentral.
GAUGAACGCUGGCGGCAUGCCUAACACAUGCAAGUCGGACGGGAAGUGGUGUUUCCAGCGGCGGUCGGGUGAGGAACGCGUAAGAACCUGCCAUGGGGAUGGGAACAACAGCUGGAUACGGUCGCUAAUACCCCGCUGGUAGAGGAGCAAAAGGAGGAAUCCACCUGAGGAGUGGUUCGCGUAUGAUUUACUAGGUGGUGGAGCAGUAGCUUACCAAGGCGAUGAACAGGAGCCGUUCCGAGAGGAAGAUCGGCCACACUGGGACUGGGACCAGCAGUAGGGAACAUCGGGCGACGGGCGAAAGGAAGAUUCAGCAAUGGCGCGUGGGUGAAGAAGGCCUUGCGACGGGGAAGCAGAAGGACUAGGGAUGAAGAACUGCUUGUCCAGGAGAAGAAGCAUUGACGGUAUCUAGAGAAUAAGCAUCGGCUAACUCUGUG